CUACGGGAGGCAGCAGUGGGGAAUAUUGGACAAUGGGGGCAACCCUGAUCCAGCAAUGCCGCGUGAGUGAUGAAGGCCUUAGGGUUGUAAAGCUCUUUCGGCGGGGACGAUGAUGACGGUACCCGCAGAAGAAGCCCCGGCUAACUUCGUGCCAGCAGCCGCGGUAAUACGAAGGGGGCGAGCGUUGUUCGGAUUUACUGGGCGUAAAGGGCGCGCAGGCGGUCUUGAAAGUCAGGCGUGAAAGCCCCGGGCUUAACCUGGGAAUUGCGCUUGAUACUCUGAGACUGGAGUACGGGAGAGGAGAGUGGAAUUCCCAGUGUAGAGGUGAAAUUCGUAGAUAUUGGGAAGAACACCAGUGGCGAAGGCGGCUCUCUGGACCGUAACUGACGCUGAGGCGCGAAAGCGUGGGGAGCAAACAGGAUUAGAUACCCCGGUAGUCCG
RNAcentral lists this ribosomal RNA (441 nucleotides) under uncultured bacterium. RNAcentral's name for it is "bacterial SSU rRNA". It matches the Rfam family "Bacterial small subunit ribosomal RNA", at positions 339 to 797 of the family's 1533-position model. The record is from RNAcentral.